Molecule: RNA transcript, 2183 nt
Organism: Mus musculus (house mouse)
Lineage: Eukaryota; Metazoa; Chordata; Mammalia; Rodentia; Muridae
Gene: Cyp3a25
Gene name: cytochrome P450, family 3, subfamily a, polypeptide 25
Exons: 14
Source: RefSeq, marked validated
UAGACUGGCCUCACUAGAUGCCAUCUAGGCCUAGCAGAGGAUCCCUGCAAGACUCUCAGCUGGGAGGGAAACUUGGAGGCCUGAACUGCUAAAGGAAAGCUAAGAUGGAGCUCAUCCCCAACCUUUCUAUAGAAACCUGGGUGCUGCUGGUUACUAGCCUGGUGCUCUUCUACAUAUAUGGGACCUAUUCUCAUGGCUUGUUUAAGAAACUAGGAAUUCCUGGACCAAAACCUCUACCGUUACUUGGCACCAUUUUCAACUACUAUGAUGGCAUGUGGAAAUUUGAUGAAGAUUGCUAUAAAAAGUAUGGGAAAAUAUGGGGGUUUUAUGAGGGCCCACAGCCUAUAUUGGCUAUCAUGGAUCCAGAGAUCAUCAAGAUUGUGCUGGUGAAAGAAUGUUACUCAGUCUUCACAAACCGUCGGUUUUUUGGGCCAGUGGGAUUCAUGAAAAAGGCCAUUACCAUAUCUGAGGAUGAAGAAUGGAAGAGACUUAGAACACUCCUGUCUCCAACCUUCACCAGUGGCAAACUCAAGGAGAUGUUCCCCAUCAUGAGACAGUAUGGAGAUAUAUUGGUGAGAAACUUGAGACGAGAAGAAGAGAAAGGGGAGCCCAUCAGUAUGAAAGACAUCUUUGGAGCUUAUAGCAUGGAUGUGAUCACUGGCACAUCAUUUGGCGUGAACGUCGAUUCCCUCAAUAAUCCACAGGAUCCCUUUGUGCAGAAAGCCAAGAAGAUCUUAAAAUUUAAAAUUUUUGAUCCAUUUCUUCUGUCUAUAAUUCUGUUUCCAUUUCUUACUCCAAUAUAUGAGAUGUUAAACUUUUCCAUUUUUCCAAGAGAUUCAAUGAACUUUUUCAAAAAAUUUGUAAAAAGGAUGAAGAAAGAACGCCUUGCUUCAAACCAGAAGAACCGAGUGGAUUUUCUACAACUGAUGAUGAAUACUCAGAACUCCAAAGGCCAAGAGUCACAGAAAGCUCUUUCUGAUCUAGAAAUGGCAGCACAAGCUGUUAUUUUUAUCUUCGGGGGCUAUGAUGCCACAAGCACUUCCAUUUCCCUCAUAAUGUAUGAACUGGCCACUCACCCUGAUGUGCAAAAAAAACUUCAGGAUGAGAUUGACAGAACUCUGCCCAAUAAGGCACCUGUCACCUAUGACGCCCUGAUGGACAUGGAGUACCUGGACAUGGUGGUGAAUGAAAGUCUAAGAUUGUACCCAAUUGCUAUCAGGCUAGAAAGGGUCUCAAAAAAAGAUGUGGAAAUCAAUGGAGUGUUCAUUCCCAAAGGGACCGUAGUUAUGAUACCAAUCUAUCCUCUUCACCGAAAUCCUGAGUACUGGCCAGAGCCUCAGGAAUUCUGCCCUGAAAGGACCUCUCAUUGUCUUAGGAUUUCACUAAGUGGAGUAGAGUAGUUGGAUAGUGCACUCCAGGGCUGUAAUCAUCCCCACCUCCCAGCCAGCCACUGCGAGGCACACACCACCGUGAUCACAGUUCUGUGGACGUUCUCGGGAUCAAGCCCAGGUUCAGCAAGGAGAACAAGGGCAACAUUGAUCCAUAUAUAUACAUGCCCUUUGGAAAUGGACCCAGGAACUGCAUAGGCAUGAGGUUUGCUCUCAUCAGCAUCAAACUUGCUGUCAUAGGAGUCCUGCAGAACUUCACUGUCCAGCCUUGUGAAGAGACACAGAUCCCCCUGAAGAUCAGCAGGGAACCAAUUUUCCAACCAGAAAAACCCAUCAUCCUAAAGGUUGUGUCAAGAGAUAAACCCAGAACUGGAUCAUGAAUUUCCCUCAGAAAACAUGUUAUAUUCUUCAAGGAGACUGUGUCAUAGAACACAAGAGAAUUUAAUUAACUUUAGAACAACAUAAUAUGGGCAUACUCAACUUUCCUUGAUGAUUGAAUAUUCAGAAAUUCACUGAACAUGCUCAGUGACUAUGCAGUGUAUCAUCUAUUUUGUGAUUCAAAGGAAAUUAUUAACUCAAUGGUAGUUGUGGAUGUUCACCUUCUGAUUCUUGUGGGAAUGUCUACACUAAUUCCAGUUAGUUACAUCCAUUCUGAAUUCUAACUGCAGCAACUAUUUCUCUAUCAUUUUAUUAAUAGAAACCCUUGUAAUGAUGGUUAGUAAAUGUGUAUCAAGUUUUCUCUUUGUUAAAAUGUAUGAUAUUAAGUGUAUACAUAAAUAUAUCUUUUAAAAUGUG